ACUCCUACGGGAGGCAGCAGUGGGGAAUAUUGCACAAUGGGCGCAAGCCUGAUGCAGCCAUGCCGCGUGUAUGAAGAAGGCCUUCGGGUUGUAAAGUACUUUCAGCAGUGAGGAAGGUGAUGCGUUAAUAGCGUAUUCAUUUGACGUUAGCUGCAGAAGAAGCACCGGCUAACUCCGUGCCAGCAGCCGCGGUAAUACGGAGGGUGCGAGCGUUAAUCGGAAUUACUGGGCGUAAAGCGCAUGCAGGUGGUUUGCUAAGUCAGAUGUGAAAGCCCGGGGCUCAACCUCGGAAUAGCAUUUGAAACUGGCAGACUAGAGUACUNUAGAGGGGGGUAGAAUUUCAGGUGUAGCGGUGAAAUGCGUAGAGAUCUGAAGGAAUACCGGUGGCGAAGGCGGCCCCCUGGACAGAUACUGACACUCAGAUGCGAAAGCGUGGGGAGCAAACAGGAUUAGAUACCCUGGUAGCUACG
This 470-nucleotide ribosomal RNA is filed under the name uncultured bacterium. RNAcentral's name for it is "bacterial SSU rRNA". It matches the Rfam family "Bacterial small subunit ribosomal RNA", at positions 335 to 799 of the family's 1533-position model. The record is from RNAcentral.